Long non-coding RNA from Lolium rigidum, 1173 nucleotides. RefSeq lists it as uncharacterized. Lineage: Eukaryota; Viridiplantae; Streptophyta; Magnoliopsida; Poales; Poaceae. The transcript is spliced from 7 exons. The record is from RefSeq and is a predicted model, not a curated record.
CUAUUCCCCCUCUCGUCUUGUUUUCUUCUUCCUGUGCGGCGGCCGGCCCGAUCUGUGCGUGGCGGCGAGCAGCCCUGGUGCUCCCAUCCUCUCUCCGGCGGCCGCUGACUGCCUAGUCUUUUUCGUGGUCGCCGGUGGGAGACAGCGCGCAGUGAUGGAUUUCCCACUGGAUCCGGUGAGCAGCCUUCCAAUUUAUGGGGCGUUCCCGGCUGAGGCGACGGUGGAGAUUUUGCAAGGAGGGGACUCGGUCAGUAGCAACGCGGGUCCGGCGCCGGCGCCGGCGGGAGCAACCGUGCUUGGGGACAUCCUAGAUGCAACCAGCGUCGGCGAUUUUGCAAGCGGGCUUGGUGGCGUGGAUGGACCAGUAGCUGCAGAUUCAGCGGAAUCUAGACAAUCCUCAGUCGUCUGGAUGGAAGAAGAGGGUCUGUGUUGGCCGUGCACCGCCUGGAGAAAAUUAAGGAACUAAUCCGUUUGAACAUGAUGGACAUGGAUAGGGCUGAACCACGGAACCAGACCAAACCUUUCGACUACAUCGGUGGCUUGGCACGGAGGUGGCACCCCUUAAUAUCAGGGCACGAUCCGACGAUGGCUUUUUCGGAUUUAACUGUAAGAAGCAAGAUCAGCUGGUGGAGGAAGAAGUUCUCCCUAUGGUGAAAGAUGCCGUGUUGAAGGCGGUUUGGGGGCUCAACAGCACUGGCCUUGAUGGGAGUGUGAGCGAGAGCUGGGCGGCAGCGCAGAUAGAAGAAGUAUUUGGACAGGUUGAAGCCGAAAGGAAGGAGCUGGAGCUGAAGUUUGUGGGAGCUCUGUUCCCCACGUUCUGGGUUGCGGAAGCACGAGCUGAAGCAUGUGCAGUGGGUGCGGUGGACAUGGUGGACAAGGUUUCGUCGAGCAAGAGGAAACAUCGUCAGAAAGCACUGAAGAAAAAGUCAAUUUCAGACAUGAUAUCGGGAGAGGUAGCUGUGUGUGGCGACCUGCGGCAUGCAUUGCGUAUGCCAUCCAGUAGUUCGAAGAAGGUAGCGGUUGUCUCUUGCCGGUAGACAGGAAACAAUUGCAGAUGCGUUCAAGCGGGCAAAAGUCAUCUCGGAUCACCACCACGAACGUCGCUGAUGCGUGAUCUCCCUAGUCGUCUGCCGGGCGACGGCGACGGAGAGGAGACCACGCGGAAGAGGGCUA